Molecule: ribosomal RNA, 1524 nt
Filed under: Salmonella enterica subsp. enterica serovar Typhi
Lineage: Bacteria; Pseudomonadati; Pseudomonadota; Gammaproteobacteria; Enterobacterales; Enterobacteriaceae
Description: bacterial SSU rRNA
Rfam family: Bacterial small subunit ribosomal RNA
Source: RNAcentral
GAACGCUGGCGGCAGGCCUAACACAUGCAAGUCGAACGGUAACAGGAAGCAGCUUGCUGCUUUGCUGACGAGUGGCGGACGGGUGAGUAAUGUCUGGGAAACUGCCUGAUGGAGGGGGAUAACUACUGGAAACGGUGGCUAAUACCGCAUAACGUCGCAAGACCAAAGAGGGGGACCUUCGGGCCUCUUGCCAUCAGAUGUGCCCAGAUGGGAUUAGCUUGUUGGUGAGGUAACGGCUCACCAAGGCGACGAUCCCUAGCUGGUCUGAGAGGAUGACCAGCCACACUGGAACUGAGACACGGUCCAGACUCCUACGGGAGGCAGCAGUGGGGAAUAUUGCACAAUGGGCGCAAGCCUGAUGCAGCCAUGCCGCGUGUAUGAAGAAGGCCUUCGGGUUGUAAAGUACUUUCAGCGGGGAGGAAGGUGUUGUGGUUAAUAACCGCAGCAAUUGACGUUACCCGCAGAAGAAGCACCGGCUAACUCCGUGCCAGCAGCCGCGGUAAUACGGAGGGUGCAAGCGUUAAUCGGAAUUACUGGGCGUAAAGCGCACGCAGGCGGUCUGUCAAGUCGGAUGUGAAAUCCCCGGGCUCAACCUGGGAACUGCAUUCGAAACUGGCAGGCUUGAGUCUUGUAGAGGGGGGUAGAAUUCCAGGUGUAGCGGUGAAAUGCGUAGAGAUCUGGAGGAAUACCGGUGGCGAAGGCGGCCCCCUGGACAAAGACUGACGCUCAGGUGCGAAAGCGUGGGGAGCAAACAGGAUUAGAUACCCUGGUAGUCCACGCCGUAAACGAUGUCUACUUGGAGGUUGUGCCCUUGAGGCGUGGCUUCCGGAGCUAACGCGUUAAGUAGACCGCCUGGGGAGUACGGCCGCAAGGUUAAAACUCAAAUGAAUUGACGGGGGCCCGCACAAGCGGUGGAGCAUGUGGUUUAAUUCGAUGCAACGCGAAGAACCUUACCUGGUCUUGACAUCCACAGAACUUUCCAGAGAUGGAUUGGUGCCUUCGGGAACUGUGAGACAGGUGCUGCAUGGCUGUCGUCAGCUCGUGUUGUGAAAUGUUGGGUUAAGUCCCGCAACGAGCGCAACCCUUAUCCUUUGUUGCCAGCGGUCCGGCCGGGAACUCAAAGGAGACUGCCAGUGAUAAACUGGAGGAAGGUGGGGAUGACGUCAAGUCAUCAUGGCCCUUACGACCAGGGCUACACACGUGCUACAAUGGCGCAUACAAAGAGAAGCGACCUCGCGAGAGCAAGCGGACCUCAUAAAGUGCGUCGUAGUCCGGAUUGGAGUCUGCAACUCGACUCCAUGAAGUCGGAAUCGCUAGUAAUCGUGGAUCAGAAUGCCACGGUGAAUACGUUCCCGGGCCUUGUACACACCGCCCGUCACACCAUGGGAGUGGGUUGCAAAAGAAGUAGGUAGCUUAACCUUCGGGAGGGCGCUUACCACUUUGUGAUUCAUGACUGGGGUGAAGUCGUAACAAGGUAACCGUAGGGGAACCUGCGGUUGGAUCACCUCCUUACCUUAAAGAAGC